GAUGAAGAACGUAGCGAAAUGCGAUACGAAAUGUGAAUUGCAAAUUCAGUGAAUCAUCGAGUCUUUGAACGCACAUUGCGCCCCCUGGUAUUCCGGGGGGCAUGCCUGUCCGAGCGUCAUUGCUGCCCUCAAGCACGGCUUGUGUGUUGGGCCCCGUCCUCCGAUCCCGGGGGACGGGCCCGAAAGGCAGCGGCGGCACCGCGUCCGGUCCUCGAGCGUAUGGGGCUUUGUCACCCGCUCUGUAGGCCCGGCCGGCGCUUGCCGAUCAACCCAAAUUUUUAUCCAGGUUGACCUCGGAUCAGGUAGGGAUACCCGCUGAACUUAAGCAUAUCAAUAAGCGGAGGA
RNAcentral lists this unclassified non-coding RNA (345 nucleotides) under soil metagenome. RNAcentral describes it as "partial contains 5.8S ribosomal RNA, internal transcribed spacer 2, and large subunit ribosomal RNA". The stretch from base 1 to 119 matches the Rfam family "5.8S ribosomal RNA", at positions 35 to 154 of the family's 154-position model. The record is from RNAcentral.